Molecule: long non-coding RNA, 2619 nt
Organism: Thunnus maccoyii (southern bluefin tuna)
Lineage: Eukaryota; Metazoa; Chordata; Actinopteri; Scombriformes; Scombridae
Exons: 9
Source: RefSeq, a predicted model, not a curated record
UAAAAGACUGUCUAAGGAGUCGGCUGUUCAGUUUUUUUCCGGGCUGACUGUUCUGUGGACCGGUAUCGACGGCCGAGCAGUCAUUAGGACAUCACACUUGAGCUGACGAGCAGAGAAAUCAGGGGACAUGUCCACCCUGAUUGGUUAAUUUGAUCUCAUAGCAAGAAUGACCCCAGUUCAGUCCCCAGUACGGCCACCAUAACUGUUGGAAGAUACUCUGGCUUCCUCCCCCUUGCCAAGCGCCGUCAAAGUUGUUUGACUGGAUCUUUUCAGGCUCUCUGAAAUUUAGUGAAGCACCAUCUUUCAGGGCUGUGAUUGCUGAACUGGUCACAUCAUCGGCCCAGCUGCUCCUCAUGCCUCUAGCAGGCGCACAUUUUCCCAGAGGUCUGGCCAGCCCAGCAGUGUCCUGAAGUUACCAGAACUGUGGGAUGUAUUGUGACAGACUUAAAAUGUGAGGAAGAGGAGCCCUCAUCACCCAUCACCUCUGUUAGAUGAAAGGCCCCGAAAGCAGCCUGCCACCCCACUGGACACAGCUCAGCUGUUACAAGAAGUGUUUGACAGAAGUGGCAGAUGUGAGGAGCCGCUGGCUAGGUGAGACCAGCCGGUCGUCUCAGCUGCUAACAGCACGACUCCGGAGAUGAUCGGCCGGUCAACGUCUGUCGUCAUCCUGGGGAGAACAUGAUCUGAUGAACUGAUCUGUGCGGCUCUUUGGUGCUCUUCACCCAUCUGUCAUCCCCUGUGGUCUCCUUCACCUUGCAGAGACUCAUUACCUCCUAUGUUUAUUUGAAACCUCAUCUUAUUCCCAGUCAAUCCCCAGUGAGUUCUCUGGAGAUGCAGCGCUACAACAUGUGAGGAUACCAUGCAUGUAAGGGCAAACACUGGCCAUGAUCAGUCAUUUGCGAAGAACGAAAAUACAAGGAGAGUAGAGUGCAAGACGACAGAUGUGGCAAGUUAAAGUCGGAGAAAAGCAAUGAGGGUCAGAGGAGUCUGAAGUUAUAUGAGUCAACUUUCGUUCUGCGGUGGCCAGGAAUAUGUUGUCGCGGUAUUGAACAAGUGUAUACAACGCAGUGGAGCGGCAAGGCGGGGUCACGGUGUCACACAGUCUGAGGGUGGGCCUGUAGAUAAGAGCCUGGGAGGCUCAUCUCGCCCAGCUCUCCCCCGGCACAGGGACUGACUGCAGAGUACACCUGGCCUGGCAGCUUCCGACCAUCCAGGGACAACUGGGAAAGGCUUCUUCCUUGUCCACAACCCAAACUGACAAAGGGAAUCGUGCGGUGGUAGGAGCAAACAGAGCAAGGUUGACAGUGUUAAUGUGUGACUGCGCUAUCAUGCAGAGCAUUGUGUGUACGUGUGUGCGUGUCUAUGCAUGUGCGUGCACGUAUAGAAGCUCCAGGGCAGCAGGAGAAGGCCGGUCUACUAACAGCUGUCUGCUUUCCUAACCUUUGUGUUUGUCAUACCAGGUUAAAGGCAGGGCAUGGUAAGGAGAAAAGAAAAUAGGUGAAAAAAAAAAGAAAGUGAGAGAAAAAGGUCAGGCUUGAACAUAGAGAGAAAAUGAUAGUGCCAGAAUUGUAAAAGUUACUGCUGUGGAUGGAAACCUUUUCCUAACACUGAAUUGGCUUCCAAAGUACUCUUGAGCAAAGUUCUUCCAACAUUUUCUGCCCAAAGGGUGCUGCUGCGAAAGCCAGCUGUUAAAGGUGUUAGAUAUAUCCAUUUUAAGAAUAACUAUCAAGAUCACAUUAAUUAACACCUUAGUUUAAUUAGCAUAACACAUGAGAGACCAGGAUUUAGAGCAUUGAUGGCUUUUUUUUUUUUUCUCACAUGUGGUGUAAUGUAAAGGCCCCUCACUUUAACUUCACCUAACUCAACUUAUAUUCACUCUCAUUUUAAGCUCCUUGAAACUCGCAGAAGCCAUUAAAAUGACAAAAGAAGACAUGCAGCACCUAUUGUAAAACAGAAAAAGAUAAAAUAUGUACUGAAACAGCAGAAGCAGCCCUGUGUUUUGCGGGUGUGUAGCUUAUGAAACAGCAGCCCAUUUUCUGCCAGAGAUUGGUUCAAUUUUCUCUCAUGAGGUGUGCAGGUGACACAAAAAAAUGCAGAAGUCGUCACACUCGCUCCUCCCUAAAUGGCAAACAUUCAUCAACACCUGCAAGGUGCAGUGACAGGAGAAGCAUCGAGAACACUGCUAAAAUGUUAAAGAGUCGUUGUACAAUCGACUUCACAACCACAUUUAGGGAGAACUCUGGCCUAAAGUCCUUCUGUCCUGCUGUUACAGGGAACUCAGGGCUCCAUCUUGAUUGCUGUUUGUGUGUCUCCUGUCAGAAAAAUAUAGUUUCUGGCCACAUUUCAACAUCCACAUCAACACUGACUGUCUGGUACAUCAUAUAUACUUCAAUUCUGAUAGACCCAUCCAUGCCCUACGCUGCUGAUUUCACAGAUUUGACUUACUGAUUCUGUUUGUUUAAUUGGCUAAUUUGUUGCAAAAACCAUUAACUUUAUUACUUUUUUAUUAGCCCAGCAGCGUCAAUUGUGAGACCCACUUUGCCCAUGAACCAUGUUGUUAUCUUUCACCAAGCGGAUCCUAUUUUGUCCAAUGAAGAAGAUAAAACGGUAUCAAUUUUA